CCUACGGGGGGCUGCAGUGGGGAAUAUUGGACAAUGGGGGGAACCCUGAUCCAGCCAUGCCGCGUGUGUGAAGAAGGCCCUCGGGUUGUAAAGCACUUUCAGUGAGGAAGAACGCCUGGUGGUUAAUACCCAUCAGGAAAGACAUCACUCACAGAAGAAGCACCGGCUACACUCCGUGCCAGCAGCCGCGGUAAUACGGAGGGUGCGAGCGUUAAUCGGAAUUACUGGGCGUAAAGCGCGCGUAGGUGGCUUGAUAAGCCGGUUGUGAAAGCCCCGGGCUCAACCUGGGAACGGCAUCCGGAACUGUCAAGCUAGAGUGCAGGAGAGGAAGGUAGAAUUCCCGGUGUAGCGGUGAAAUGCGUAGAGAUCGGGAGGAAUACCAGUGGCGAAGGCGGCCUUCUGGACUGACACUGACACUGAGGUGCGAAAGCGUGGGUAGCAAACAGGAUUAGAUACCCUAGUAGUC
This 466-nucleotide ribosomal RNA is filed under the name Vreelandella stevensii. RNAcentral describes it as "partial 16S ribosomal RNA". It matches the Rfam family "Bacterial small subunit ribosomal RNA", at positions 338 to 795 of the family's 1533-position model. Lineage: Bacteria; Pseudomonadati; Pseudomonadota; Gammaproteobacteria; Oceanospirillales; Halomonadaceae. The record is from RNAcentral.